RNAcentral lists this ribosomal RNA (330 nucleotides) under uncultured bacterium. RNAcentral describes it as "bacterial SSU rRNA". It matches the Rfam family "Bacterial small subunit ribosomal RNA", at positions 568 to 898 of the family's 1533-position model. The record is from RNAcentral.
UUCGUAGGCGGUGCGGUAAGUCGGAAGUGAAAUCUCUGGGCUUAACUCAGAGGCUGCUUUCGAAACUGCCGUGCUAGAGUGCGGGAGAGGCGAGUGGAAUUGCAGGUGUAGCGGUGAAAUGCGUAGAUAUCUGCAGGAACACCCGUGGCGAAGGCGGCUCGCUGGACCGCAACUGACGCUGAGGAACGAAAGCUAGGGGAGCAAACAGGAUUAGAUACCCUGGUAGUCCUAGCCCUAAACCAUCAGGACUUGGGGUGGCCCGCGUUGGCGGGUCGUCCCGGAGCUAACGCGUUAAGCCCUGCGCCUGGGGAGUACGGUCGCAAGGCUGAA